This is a non-coding RNA of Drosophila melanogaster (fruit fly), 293 nucleotides long. Lineage: Eukaryota; Metazoa; Arthropoda; Insecta; Diptera; Drosophilidae. The record is from Ensembl.
CUGUCAAAUGGAAUCUGUAAUAAUCUAUACAAAAAACACUUGGAUGGGAGAGAAAAACUUAAAUAAUAUGAAACUGGCAAACGGAAGCUGGAACGGCAACAAACAUCCGAUUAAAUUAUGCUCAAAGUCAAAAGCGCAGACAGAACUGGCCAACAAACCACUUUUGGCCAAGUUGGAAUGGGGUCUGGUUGCAUGAAAUAAGAAAACUUUUCGGCACACUCUAUCUCCAUUGGCCCCUUCUGCAGUCUGCAUUCUCCGCUUCGCUCCAAAAAUAAAUCAAAUAAUUCAAUUUU